GCGGGAAUAGCAAAGAUGGUUUAUGCGCCGGACUGAAAAUCCGAAGAUCCUGGAUCGUUACCAGGUUCCCGCA
RNAcentral lists this transfer RNA (73 nucleotides) under Dyadobacter arcticus. RNAcentral's name for it is "tRNA-Phe". It matches the Rfam family "tRNA". Rfam says of the family: Transfer RNA (tRNA) molecules are approximately 80 nucleotides in length. Their secondary structure includes four short double-helical elements and three loops (D, anti-codon, and T loops). Lineage: Bacteria; Pseudomonadati; Bacteroidota; Cytophagia; Cytophagales; Spirosomataceae. The record is from RNAcentral.